CCCUUAGAUGUUCUGGGCCGCACGCGCGCUACACUGACGAAUGCAACGAGCGUAUAACCUUGGCCGAAAGGUCUGGGUAAUCUCCAAAUUUCGUCGUGAUGGGGAUAGAUUAUUGCAAUUAUUAAUCUUCAACGAGGAAUGCCUAGUAAGCGCAAGUCAUCAGCUUGCGUUGAUUACGUCCCUGCCCUUUGUACACACCGCCCGUCGCUCCUACCGAUUGAAUGGUCCGGUGAAGCGUUCGGACCGUGGCCUUUGGACGGUUCGCCGUCUGUUGGCUGCGGGAAGUUCGUUAAACCUUAUCAUUUAGAGGAAGGAGAAGUCGUAACA
This 327-nucleotide ribosomal RNA is filed under the name uncultured eukaryote. RNAcentral describes it as "partial 18S ribosomal RNA". It matches the Rfam family "Eukaryotic small subunit ribosomal RNA", at positions 1470 to 1796 of the family's 1831-position model. The record is from RNAcentral.